GAGGGUGUAGCUCAGUGGUUGAGUGCGUGCUUAGCAUGCGCAAGGUCCUGGGUUCAAUCUCCAGUACCUUCG
This 72-nucleotide transfer RNA is filed under the name Camelus bactrianus (Bactrian camel). It matches the Rfam family "tRNA". From Rfam's summary of the family: Transfer RNA (tRNA) molecules are approximately 80 nucleotides in length. Their secondary structure includes four short double-helical elements and three loops (D, anti-codon, and T loops). Further hydrogen bonds mediate the characteristic L-shaped molecular structure. tRNAs have two regions of fundamental functional importance: the anti-codon, which is responsible for specific mRNA codon recognition, and the 3' end, to which the tRNAs corresponding amino acid is attached (by aminoacyl-tRNA synthetases). tRNAs cope with the degeneracy of the genetic code in two manners: having more than one tRNA (with a specific anti-codon) for a particular amino acid; and 'wobble' base-pairing, i.e. permitting non-standard base-pairing at the 3rd anti-codon position. The record is from Rfam by way of RNAcentral. Lineage: Eukaryota; Metazoa; Chordata; Mammalia; Artiodactyla; Camelidae. RNAcentral also lists the same sequence under 2 other names.